GACGAACGCUGGCGGCGUGCUUAACACAUGCAAGUCGAACGGAAAGGCCAGUGCUUGCACUGGUACUCGAGUGGCGAACGGGUGAGUAACACGUGGGUGAUCUGCCUUGCACUCUGGGAUAAGCUUGGGAAACUGGGUCUAAUACCGGAUAUGAACUGCCUUUAGUGUGGUGGUUGGAAAGUUUUUUCGGUGCAAGAUGAGCUCGCGGCCUAUCAGCUUGUUGGUGGGGUAAUGGCCUACCAAGGCGUCGACGGGUAGCCGGCCUGAGAGGGUGUACGGCCACAUUGGGACUGAGAUACGGCCCAGACUCCUACGGGAGGCAGCAGUGGGGAAUAUUGCACAAUGGGCGGAAGCCUGAUGCAGCGACGCCGCGUGGGGGAUGGCGGCCUUCGGGUUGUAAACUCCUUUCGACAGGGACGAAGCGUAAGUGACGGUACCUGUAUAGGAAGCACCGGCUAACUACGUG
Molecule: ribosomal RNA, 466 nt
Filed under: uncultured bacterium
Lineage: Bacteria
Description: partial 16S ribosomal RNA
Rfam family: Bacterial small subunit ribosomal RNA
Source: RNAcentral